CAAUAGCGUAUAUUAAAGUUGUUGCAGUUAAAAAGCUCGUAGUCGGAUUUCGGGUCGGGCCGAGCGGUCUGCCGAUGGGUAUGCACUGUUUGGCGCGGCCUUCUUUCCGGAGACCGCGGCUACUCUUAACUGAGCGGGCGUGGGAGACGGAUCGUUUACUUUGAAAAAAUUAGAGUGUUCAAAGCAGGCCUACGCUUGAAUACAUUAGCAUGGAAUAAUGGAAUAGGACUUUGGUGCUAUUUUGUUGGUUUAUGGGACCGAAGUAAUGAUUAACAGGGACAGUUGGGGCCGUUUAUAUUUCGUUGUCAGAGGUGAAAUUCUUGGAUUUACGAAAGAUAAACUUCUGCGAAAGCAUUCGGCAAGGAUGUUUUCAUUGAUCAAGAACGAAAGUUAGGGGAUCGAAGACGAUCAGAU
RNAcentral lists this ribosomal RNA (414 nucleotides) under uncultured eukaryote. RNAcentral's name for it is "bacterial SSU rRNA". It matches the Rfam family "Eukaryotic small subunit ribosomal RNA", at positions 592 to 1013 of the family's 1831-position model. The record is from RNAcentral.